This 496-nucleotide ribosomal RNA is filed under the name uncultured bacterium. RNAcentral describes it as "partial 16S ribosomal RNA". It matches the Rfam family "Bacterial small subunit ribosomal RNA", at positions 28 to 506 of the family's 1533-position model. The record is from RNAcentral.
GAUGAACGCUGGCGGCGUGCCUAAUACAUGCAAGUCGAGCGAACAGACGAGGAGCUUGCUCCUCUGACGUUAGCGGCGGACGGGUGAGUAACACGUGGAUAACCUACCUAUAAGACUGGGAUAACUUCGGGAAACCGGAGCUAAUACCGGAUAAUAUAUUGAACCGCAUGGUUCAAUAGUGAAAGACGGUUUUGCUGUCACUUAUAGAUGGAUCCGCGCCGCAUUAGCUAGUUGGUAAGGUAACGGCUUACCAAGGCAACGAUGCGUAGCCGACCUGAGAGGGUGAUCGGCCACACUGGAACUGAGACACGGUCCAGACUCCUACGGGAGGCAGCAGUAGGGAAUCUUCCGCAAUGGGCGAAAGCUUGACGGAGCAACGCCGCGUGAGUGAUGAAGGGCUUCGGAUCGUAAAACUCUGUUAUUAGGGAAGAACAAAUGUGUAAGUAACUAUGCACGUCUUGACGGUACCGAAGCAGAAAGCCACGGCUAACUACGU